RNAcentral lists this ribosomal RNA (585 nucleotides) under uncultured Pseudomonas sp. RNAcentral describes it as "bacterial SSU rRNA". It matches the Rfam family "Bacterial small subunit ribosomal RNA", at positions 102 to 683 of the family's 1533-position model. Lineage: Bacteria; Pseudomonadati; Pseudomonadota; Gammaproteobacteria; Pseudomonadales; Pseudomonadaceae. The record is from RNAcentral.
ACGGGUGAGUAAUGCCUAGGAAUCUGCCUGGUAGUGGGGGAUAACGUUCGGAAACGGACGCUAAUACCGCAUACGUCCUACGGGAGAAAGCAGGGGACCUUCGGGCCUUGCGCUAUCAGAUGAGCCUAGGUCGGAUUAGCUAGUUGGUGAGGUAAUGGCUCACCAAGGCGACGAUCCGUAACUGGUCUGAGAGGAUGAUCAGUCACACUGGAACUGAGACACGGUCCAGACUCCUACGGGAGGCAGCAGUGGGGAAUAUUGGACAAUGGGCGAAAGCCUGAUCCAGCCAUGCCGCGUGUGUGAAGAAGGUCUUCGGAUUGUAAAACACUUUAAGUUGGGAGGAAGGGCAUUAACCUAAUACGUUAGUGUUUUGACGUUACCGACAGAAUAAGCACCGGCUAACUCUGUGCCAGCAGCCGCGGUAAUACAGAGGGUGCAAGCGUUAAUCGGAAUUACUGGGCGUAAAGCGCGCGUAGGUGGUUUGUUAAGUUGGAUGUGAAAUCCCCGGGCUCAACCUGGGAACUGCAUUCAAAACUGACUGACUAGAGUAUGGUAGAGGGUGGUGGAAUUUCCUGUGUAGCGGUG